CACCGCGGUUAAACGAGAGGCCCUAGUUGAUACUACAGCGGCGUAAAGGGUGGUUAAGGAUAAAAAAAUAAUAAAGCCAAAUGGCCCUUCGGCAGUUAUACGCUUUCUAGGCGUCUGAAGCCCCACUUAUACGAAAGUAGCUUUAACAAAAUAACCUGACCCCACGAAAGCUGAGAAA
This 178-nucleotide ribosomal RNA is filed under the name Osteobrama belangeri (pengba). RNAcentral's name for it is "partial 12S rRNA". Lineage: Eukaryota; Metazoa; Chordata; Actinopteri; Cypriniformes; Cyprinidae. The record is from RNAcentral.